This 497-nucleotide ribosomal RNA is filed under the name uncultured bacterium. Its description in RNAcentral is "partial 16S ribosomal RNA". It matches the Rfam family "Bacterial small subunit ribosomal RNA", at positions 28 to 507 of the family's 1533-position model. The record is from RNAcentral.
GAUGAACGCUGGCGGCGUGCCUAAUACAUGCAAGUCGAGCGAACGGACGAGAAGCUUGCUUUUCUGAUGUUAGCGGCGGACGGGUGAGUAACACGUGGAUAACCUACCUAUAAGACUGGGAUAACUUCGGGAAACCGGAGCUAAUACCGGAUAAUAUUUUGAACCGCAUGGUUCAAAAGUGAAAGACGGUCUUGCUGUCACUUAUAGAUGGAUCCGCGCUGCAUUAGCUAGUUGGUAAGGUAACGGCUUACCAAGGCAACGAUGCAUAGCCGACCUGAGAGGGUGAUCAGCCACACUGGAACUGAGACACGGUCCAGACUCCUACGGGAGGCAGCAGUAGGGAAUAUUCCGCAAUGGGCGAAAGCCUGACGGAGCAACGCCGCGUGAGUGAUGAAGGUCUUCGGAUCGUAAAACUCUGUUAUUAGGGAAGAAAAUAUGUGUAAGUAACUGUGCACAUCUUGACGGUACCUAAUCAGAAAGCCACGGCUAACUACGUG